Molecule: long non-coding RNA, 1088 nt
Organism: Oncorhynchus tshawytscha (Chinook salmon)
Lineage: Eukaryota; Metazoa; Chordata; Actinopteri; Salmoniformes; Salmonidae
Source: Ensembl
AUUUCCCCAUCAGUUUUACAUAUAGUUUAUCUGUGAUGGAGAGGGAGGGUUCAGUCCCUGAUGGGUCUUCUGAUGUUACAUUUGACUCAUUGGAGCAGAGCAAAGUUAAUGCAUUGGAUAUCAUUUCAUCCCUGGUAUAACCAGGAGCACAAGGCCAGUCUGAUUGGCUCUGCUAGUUCGCUGUCAUGCAGCAAUGCCAGAGAGGAAAAACCACUUCACGACGGUUAAACAAACCUGACCCAACUUUUCUCUCUUCCUGCUUGAUUUCGCGCAUUUUGAUAUAAUUUCACAAACCGUGUCGCGGGCCGUUUUUAAACUGAUCCCGGCCCACUAAUUAUUGGUUUGAUGACAACGUUGUUCAGUCAACCUGGUAACUUGGCAGUAGGUUUAGACACAUCUGAUUGGCCCCUGAAGAAAGGAAAAUGCAGUAUUCUAUUAUAGUGAACAGGGUGUAGUUAAUUCAAUGUGUUGUAUUAGUAGCUGUGUGAAUAUCAGGGAACAGUGUGAAUAUCAGGGAACAUUGUGUAGCUGUGUGAAUAUCAGGGAACAGUGAGUAGCUGUGUGAAUAUCAGGGAACAGUGAGUAGCUGUGUGAAUAUCAGGGAACAUUGAGUAGCUGUGUGAAUAUCAGGGAACAGUGUGUAGCUGUGUGAAUAUCAGGGAACAGUGUGAAUAUCAGGGAACAGUGUGGAACAGUGUGAAUAUCAGGGAACAUUGAGUAGCUGUGUGAAUAUCAGGGAACAGUGUGUAGCUGUGUGAAUAUCAGGGAACAUUGAGUAGCUGUGUGAAUAUCAGGGAACAGUGAGUAGCUGUGUGAAUAUCAGGGAACAGUGAGUAGCUGUGUGAAUAUCAGGGAACAGUGAGUAGCUGUGUGAAUAUCAGGGAACAGUGUGUAGCUGUGUGAAUAUCAGGGAACAGUGUGUAGCUGUGUGAAUAUCAGGGAACAGUGUGUAGCUGUGUGAAUAUCAGGGAACAGUGUGUAGCUGUGUGAAUAUCAGGGAACAGUGUGUAGCUGUGUGAAUAUCAGGGAACAUUGAGUAGCUGUGUGAAUAUCAGGGAACAGAUUUUGUGUAGCUGUGUGAAUAUCAG